UUCACAACGAGGUGUCAUUUAU
RNAcentral lists this microRNA (22 nucleotides) under Ateles geoffroyi (black-handed spider monkey). The record is from RNAcentral. Lineage: Eukaryota; Metazoa; Chordata; Mammalia; Primates; Atelidae.